RNAcentral lists this ribosomal RNA (403 nucleotides) under Leucopleurus acutus (Atlantic white-sided dolphin). Its description in RNAcentral is "partial 12S ribosomal RNA". It matches the Rfam family "Bacterial small subunit ribosomal RNA", at positions 794 to 1384 of the family's 1533-position model. Lineage: Eukaryota; Metazoa; Chordata; Mammalia; Artiodactyla; Delphinidae. The record is from RNAcentral.
GCUUAGUCGUNAACUUAAAUAGUCCUAAAACAAGACUAUUCGCCAGAGUACUAUCGGCAACAGCCCAAAACUCAAAGGACUUGGCGGUGCUUCAUAUCCUUCUAGAGGAGCCUGUUCUGUAAACGAUAAACCACGAUUAACCUCACCAAUCUUUGCUACUUCAGUCUAUAUACCGCCAUCUUCAGCAAACCCUAAAAAAGGAAUGAAAGUAAGCACAACUACUGCACGUAAAAACGUUAGGUCAAGGUGUAACCUAUAGAUUGGGAAGAAAUGGGCUACAUUUUCUAUAACAAGAACACCCCUUAAACUUAUACGAAAGUUUUUAUGAAACCUAGAAACUAAAGGAGGAUUUAGCAGUAAAUUAAGAAUAGAAUGCUUAAUUGAAAAAGGCCAUGAAGCACGC